This 253-nucleotide ribosomal RNA is filed under the name uncultured bacterium. RNAcentral describes it as "partial 16S ribosomal RNA". It matches the Rfam family "Bacterial small subunit ribosomal RNA", at positions 524 to 776 of the family's 1533-position model. The record is from RNAcentral.
UACGGAGGGUGCAAGCGUUAUCCGGAUUCACUGGGUUUAAAGGGUGCGUAGGCGGGUAGGUAAGUCAGUGGUGAAAUCUUCGAGCUUAACUCGGAAACUGCCUUUGAUACUAUCUAUCUUGAAUAUUGUGGAGGUAAGCGGAAUAUGUCAUGUAGCGGUGAAAUGCUUAGAUAUGACAUAGAACACCGAUAGCGGAGGCAGCUUGCUACACAGUCAUUGACACUGAGGCACGAAAGCGUGGGGAUCAAACAGG